CAGUCGCCGCGGUAAUACGAAGGGUGCAAGCGUUAGUCGGAAUUACUGGGCGUAAAGCGUGCGUAGGCGGUUUGUUAAGUCUGUUGUGAAAUCCCCGGGCUCAACCUGGGAAUGGCAAUGGAUACUGGCAAGCUAGAGUGUGUCAGAGGAUGGUGGAAUUCCCGGUGUAGCGGUGAAAUGCGUAGAGAUCGGGAGGAACAUCAGUGGCGAAGGCGGCCAUCUGGGACAACACUGACGCUGAGGCACGAAAGCGUGGGGAGCAAACAGGAUUAGAUACCCCGGUAGUCCCUGUCUCUUAUAC
RNAcentral lists this ribosomal RNA (301 nucleotides) under uncultured bacterium. RNAcentral's name for it is "partial 16S ribosomal RNA". It matches the Rfam family "Bacterial small subunit ribosomal RNA", at positions 509 to 807 of the family's 1533-position model. The record is from RNAcentral.